AGCAGCCGCGGUAAUUCCAGCUCCAAUAGCGUAUAUUAAAGUUGUUGCAGUUAAAAAGCUCGUAGUUGAACUUCAGGCCUGUCCAGACGGUCCGCCUUAAUUGGUGUGUACUGUCCUUGGGUGGGUCCUACCUUCUGGCGAAGCGGCAUGGCCUUAAUUGGUUGUGUCGGGGAACCAGGACUUUUACUGUGAAAAAAAUUAGAGUGUUCAAAGCAGGCAAAUAUGCUCGAAUACAUUAGCAUGGAAUAAUGGAAUAGGACGAUGGUUCUAUUUUGUUGGUUCUAGGACCGUUGUAAUGAUUAAUAGGGAUAGUUGGGGGCAUUAGUAUUCAAUUGUCAGAGGUGAAAUUCUUGGAUUUAUUGAAGACUAACUACUGCGAAAGCAUUUGCCAAGGAUGUUUUCAUUAAUCAAGAACGAAAGUUAGGGGAUCGAAGACGAUCAGAUACCGUCGUAGUCUUAACCAUAAACUAUGCCGA
This 476-nucleotide ribosomal RNA is filed under the name uncultured Paraglomus. RNAcentral describes it as "bacterial SSU rRNA". It matches the Rfam family "Eukaryotic small subunit ribosomal RNA", at positions 569 to 1045 of the family's 1831-position model. Lineage: Eukaryota; Fungi; Glomeromycota; Glomeromycetes; Paraglomerales; Paraglomeraceae. The record is from RNAcentral.